This 269-nucleotide ribosomal RNA is filed under the name uncultured bacterium. RNAcentral's name for it is "partial 16S ribosomal RNA". It matches the Rfam family "Bacterial small subunit ribosomal RNA", at positions 793 to 1055 of the family's 1533-position model. The record is from RNAcentral.
GUCCACGCCCUAAAACGAUGUCAACUGGUUGUUGGGUCUUUACUGACUCAGUAACGAAGCUAACGCGUGAAGUUGACCGCCUGGGGGAGUACGGGCCGCAAGGUUGAAAACUCAAAAGGAAUUGACGGGGACCCGCACAAGCGGUGGAUGAUGUGGUUUAAUUCGAUGCAACGCGAAAAACCUUACCCACCUUUGACAUGUACGGAAGCCUUUAGAGAUAGAGGCGUGCUCGAAAGAGAGCCGUAACACAGGUGCUGCAUGGCUGUCGU